AUUAGACUGACGCUUUGUCUCUGCAUACAGAAAUCCUGGGGUUGCAGUCACGUGUGGUCCACCAUCGAGAGGUUGGGUCCAGUAAGCACAGGAAGUGACCCCCGCGACAGGCUUUCUCUAUCAGGAAACACAUGUGAAUAGCAUCCCGACGUCAAGACCGACAGAUUGUGCGCAACCACCUGCAG
Haliotis rubra (blacklip abalone) is the source of this 185-nucleotide long non-coding RNA. RefSeq lists it as uncharacterized. Lineage: Eukaryota; Metazoa; Mollusca; Gastropoda; Lepetellida; Haliotidae. The record is from RefSeq and is a predicted model, not a curated record. The transcript is spliced from 3 exons.